This is a long non-coding RNA of Diceros bicornis minor, 859 nucleotides long. RefSeq lists it as uncharacterized. The transcript is spliced from 3 exons. The record is from RefSeq and is a predicted model, not a curated record. NCBI's taxonomy places the organism in Eukaryota, Metazoa, Chordata, Mammalia, Perissodactyla, Rhinocerotidae.
GGGCCUGAAAUGGAAGUGGCUAGAGCUGGCCAUGGACUAGAUGGGAAGCCAGACAGUUCCUCAAAGUGACUGCAUGCAGUCAUCAAUGAAGUACUGGAAUAGGACAGUGGGGAUGGAAAAGGUGAAUUUAAAAGAUUUCAAAGGAAUGAAGAGAAUGACUUUGUGAUAGGGUUUCAGGAAAUGGAGGUGGCAAAGGCAAUGUUUAGAUUUCUAAGGAUUCUGUAAGGAAUUCUGACAGAAAUUGGUAGUUGAGAAGAGAUUUGAGUGGGAAAGAUAAAUGUAUUUUUUUCUCUUUGUUGAAUUUAAGAUGCUGGUAGUUCUGCCACGGAUGUGACAAGAAGCAAGCCACUGAUGGCCUUUUGAAAAACUCCACAAAUAGGGAGGAGUGAAGCCAUGUGACUAGGAGCUAUGAAAUGGUUAGAAAGGAAGUGGAAGGGGCACAUAUAGACACAUAUAAGAUAUCUGACAACAGACACACUGAGAAUAAAGCCUUUAUUGUGUGGCAGAGAGAGACAGUAAAGAGGUUGCUAUGAUAAGAAUAUGUUUGAGAAGGUGAGAUGAGUGGGAUGUGGGGUUUUGUGGAGAAGUUAUUUUUAAAAAGAUUUGCUACUGAUUACAGGGGAAAAAAUUGGAAGAAUAAUGAAGGCUCAUGUGAGAUGUUUUCGGUCUUCAUUCCUCUAAACCCUGAUCAUCCACAGAGAAUGAGAUGACUAUGGUAAGAAGAUACAAAGCACCACAAGACAGUAACUGAUUGGUCCUGAGCCAACAUCUGUGCCAGUCUUCCUCUAUUUUGUAUGUGGGAUGCUGCCACAGCAUGGCUUUAUGAAUGGUGUGUAGGUCUGCAUCAAGGAUCGGAACC